GAUGAAGGUUUUCGGAUCGUAAAGCUUCUUUUUCCAGGGAAGAAAGUUCCAGGUGAGUAACUGCACCUGGAGUGAGGGUACCUGAGAAGAAAGCCCCGGCUAACUACGUGCCAGCAGCCGCGGUAAUACGUAGGGGGCCAGCGUUGUUCCGGAAUUAUUGGGCGUAAAGCGCGUGCAGGCGGGUUUCUAAGUUUGAGUGUUUAAGACCGGGGGUCAACCCCGGGUCGCACCCGAAACUGGGAAGCUUGAGUGUAGGAGAGGAAAGUGGAAUUUCACGUGUAGCGGUGAAAUGCGUAGAGAUGUGGAGGAACACCAGUGGCGAAGGCGACUUUCUGGCCUAUAACUGACGCUGAGGCGCGAAAGCGUGGGGAGCAAACAGGAUUAGAUACCCUGGUAGUUCACGCCGUAAACGAUGAGUGCUAGGUGUUUGGGGGUUUGAUACCCUGGGUGCCGAAGUUCACGCAUUAAACACUCCGCCUGGGGAGUACGGUUGCAAGAAUGAAAAUCAAAGGAAUUGACGGGGGCCCGCACAAGCAGUGGAGUAUGUGGUUUAAUUUGAAGCAACGCGAAGAACCUUUCCAAGUUUUGACAUCCUUUUGGCCGGACUAGAGAUAGUCUUUUCCUUUGGGGCAGAAGUGACAGGUGGUGCAUGGUUGUUGUCAGCUUGUGUUGUGAGAUGUUGGGUUAAGUCCCGCAAAGAGGGCAACCCUUGACUUUAGUUGCCAGCAUUUUAAGAUGGGCACUCUAGAGUGACUGCCGGUGACAAACCGGAGGAAGGCGGGGAUGACGUCAAAUCAUCAUGCCCCUUAUGACUUGGGCUACACACGUACUACAAUGGCCGGUACAGAGGGUCGCGAAGCCGCGAGGUGAAGCCAAUCCCAGAAAGCCGGUCUCAGUUCGGAUUGUAGGCUGCAACUCGCCUGCAUGAAGUCGGAAUUGCUAGUAAUCGCGGAUCAGCAUGCCGCGGUGAAUACGUUCCCGGGUCUUGUACACACCGCCCGUCACACCACGAGAGUUUACAACACCCGAAGUCGGUGAGGUAACCGCAAGA
RNAcentral lists this ribosomal RNA (1051 nucleotides) under uncultured bacterium. RNAcentral's name for it is "bacterial SSU rRNA". It matches the Rfam family "Bacterial small subunit ribosomal RNA", at positions 407 to 1446 of the family's 1533-position model. The record is from RNAcentral.